This is a non-coding RNA of Gossypium arboreum, 106 nucleotides long. The record is from Rfam. Lineage: Eukaryota; Viridiplantae; Streptophyta; Magnoliopsida; Malvales; Malvaceae.
AAACCAUGAUGUGGACAUUUUUUUAUAAACAGUUUAAAGCAUUCCCAAGCUUCGUGAAAGUUCUCUACUUGUAACUGCCUAAAGUUAAUGAUUUCUCUUCUCAUUU